This 393-nucleotide ribosomal RNA is filed under the name uncultured Sphingobacteriales bacterium. Its description in RNAcentral is "bacterial SSU rRNA". It matches the Rfam family "Bacterial small subunit ribosomal RNA", at positions 983 to 1382 of the family's 1533-position model. Lineage: Bacteria; Pseudomonadati; Bacteroidota; Sphingobacteriia; Sphingobacteriales. The record is from RNAcentral.
AAAUGUAUGUUGACGUAUUCUGAAAGGGAUACUUCUUCGGACAAUAUACAAGGUGCUGCAUGGUUGUCGUCAGCUCGUGCCGUGAGGUGUCGGGUAAGUCCCAUAACGAGCGCAACCCUAUCAUUAGUGCCAUCAGGUCAAGCUGGGGACUCUAAUGAAACUGCCUACGCAAGUAGUGAGGAAGGUGGGGAUGACGUCAAAUCAGCACGGCCCUUACGUCCAGGGCUACACACGUGCUACAAUGGCCGGUACAAAGGGCAGCUACCUGGUGACAGGAUGCUAAUCUCAAAAGCCGGUCCCAGUUCGGAUCGGAGUCUGCAACCCGACUUCAUGAAGUUGGAAUCGCUAGUAAUCGCGCAUCAGCAUGGCGCGGUGAAUACGUUCCCGGGCCUU